Molecule: long non-coding RNA, 1217 nt
Organism: Melozone crissalis (California towhee)
Lineage: Eukaryota; Metazoa; Chordata; Aves; Passeriformes; Passerellidae
Exons: 5
Source: RefSeq, a predicted model, not a curated record
CGGCGCGCCGCGUAUUUAGCGGGAUCCCGGCGGGAAUCGGCCUUUCCCUUUCCAACGGGCACGGAACUGGAGCGGCUGCGCCUGCCCGCCUCUGUUCGGGGCAAAAAGUGAAGGUCAAGAUGAAUUUGUUGCUGGCUUUGGGAAUCCUCAGUCUGGACUCUGCCAUGCCUUGCAAGCAGAAAGAUGCCACGUGAAUUCUGGGGCUACAGAAGUUCUGUGCCAUCAGAUGACCACCUCCACUGUCUUCCAGCCUUGUGCCAGCAGGAGAGCCCAUCCACUUGUGGAAGUGUGGGUGUUUAAGGAGCUUGAAAACAGCAGCCUGGAAUGUGGAGUUCUAAUGCACUUGGAAAUGCUUCCAUUGCCCUUCCUGCUCGUCAGAAAUCCUGCUUGGUUCCACAGUACAGCAGGGAGUAACUGUUCACUGAAAAUAAAUAAUCCUGGAAUGAAAUUCAGGGUAGAGUGUCACUCUAGAAAGAGAAGUGGCCUUCUGGACAAUCUCAGAAUUUAGUAUGAAUUUUUGAGUGUAUCAAAUAAAUGGAUCAAAAGUGAAUAAGGCAAAAAUUAAAAUUGGGUAUGAAUAAAAUCUUGGAUUUCUGUUUUCGGUGGCUUAUUUUUUAGUUGAGGCUAUGGGAGCAGUAGCACUCUGAUCCUGCUGGAUGACAUCCUGGGCAUGAGUAACACAAGCCUUAAUUAUUCAGCUUGUCCAGAUUUGACAGAAGUCUGGACAACUUUACUGCAGCUUUUUAUUUAAGGUGUAUUUCUUGGAUGCAAGGCUUGCUGAGGAUUAUGCCUAGUGCUAUAUCCUUACUAUGAAGAUGAAACACAGGAAAGCCCAUGGCUGGGGAACCAUAGGGUGCUCCAAAAACUCAUCUCCUACCACACAUUCUUAAUUUGUUUUUACAGUGAGGUAUACAGAGCUGAACUCAUUGAGCUACCUGCUUACCAGGUUGUCUAAUAUUCUUUUACCUAACUGUAGCACUGUACUAUCCCCUGCAGUCUAUAUAAAAUAAUGUGGAAACCUGGGAUCAGGUUGGGGUGGUUUGGUGGGUUUCUUUUGUGGUUUGUUUUGUAGACUUUUGUGUUUUGUUUGGGUUUUGGCUGCAGGAGCAUCUGGCAUCCUUGCCUAAUCUUGUGUUGCUGUAGUGUAAAAAAAGACACAGAACAUGAAGCAGUAUGAUCAUACUUUUAUACAUUUCAAAAUCUAUACAACAUGAGUA